RNAcentral lists this unclassified non-coding RNA (337 nucleotides) under soil metagenome. Its description in RNAcentral is "partial contains 5.8S ribosomal RNA, internal transcribed spacer 2, and large subunit ribosomal RNA". The stretch from base 1 to 120 matches the Rfam family "5.8S ribosomal RNA", at positions 35 to 154 of the family's 154-position model. The record is from RNAcentral.
GAUGAAGAACGUAGCGAAAUGCGAUAAGUAGUGUGAAUUGCAGAAUUCAGUGAAUCAUCGAAUCUUUGAACGCUCAUUGCGCCCCUUGGUAUUCCAUGGGGCAUGCCUGUUCGAGCGUCAUUUGUACCUUCAAGCUCUGCUUGGUGUUGGGUGUUUGUCUCGCCUCUGCGCGUAGACUCGCCUCAAAACAAUUGGCAGCCGGCGUAUUGAUUUCGGAGCGCAGUACAUCUCGCGCUUUGCACUCAUAACGACGACGUCCAAAAGUACAUUUUUACACUCUUGACCUCGGAUCAGGUAGGGAUACCCGCUGAACUUAAGCAUAUCAAUAAGCGGAGGA